CAAUAGCGUAUAUUAAAGUUGUUGCAGUUAAAAAGCUCGUAGUUGGAUUUCUGGCAGGAGCGGCCGGUCACACACUCUGUGUGUGAACUUGCGUCGUCUCUGGCCAUCCUUGGGAAGAUCCUGUUUGGCAUUAAGUUGUCGGGCAGGGGAUACCCAUCGUUUACUGUGAAAAAAUUAGAGUGUUUAAAGCAGGCUUAUGCCGUUGAAUAUAUUAGCAUGGAAUAAUAAGAUAGGACUUCGGAACUAUUUUGUUGGUUUGCGUUACGAAGUAAUGAUUAAUAGGGACAGUUGGGGGUAUUCGUAUUUCGUUGUCAGAGGUGAACUUCUUGGAUUUCCGAAAGACGAACUACUGCGAAAGCAUUUACCAAGGAUGUUUUCAUUAA
This 383-nucleotide ribosomal RNA is filed under the name uncultured eukaryote. RNAcentral's name for it is "partial 18S ribosomal RNA". It matches the Rfam family "Eukaryotic small subunit ribosomal RNA", at positions 592 to 976 of the family's 1831-position model. The record is from RNAcentral.